This 46-nucleotide non-coding RNA is filed under the name Schistosoma margrebowiei. The record is from RNAcentral. Lineage: Eukaryota; Metazoa; Platyhelminthes; Trematoda; Strigeidida; Schistosomatidae.
GCACUGCUGAGGAGUCCCGUGCUAGGACGAAACGUCCGUCCAGUGC